RNAcentral lists this ribosomal RNA (432 nucleotides) under uncultured bacterium. RNAcentral describes it as "partial 16S ribosomal RNA". It matches the Rfam family "Bacterial small subunit ribosomal RNA", at positions 29 to 506 of the family's 1533-position model. The record is from RNAcentral.
AACGAACGCUGGCGGCAUGCCUAACACAUGCCAGUCGAACGAGACCUUCGGGUCUAGUGGCGCACGGGUGCGUAACGCGUGGGAACCUGCCCUUAGGUUCGGAAUAACUCCCCGAAAGGGGUGCUAAUACCGGAUAAUGUCUUCGGACCAAAGAUUUAUCGCCUUUGGAUGGGCCCGCGUUGGAUUAGCUAGUUGGUAGGGUAAAAGCCUACCAAGGCGACGAUCCAUAGCUGGUCUGAGAGGAUGAUCAGCCACACUGGGACUGAGACACGGCCCAGACUCCUACGGGAGGCAGCAGUGGGGAAUAUUGGACAAUGGGCGAAAGCCUGAUCCAGCAAUGCCGCGUGAGUGAUGAAGGCCUUAGGGUUGUAAAGCUCUUUUACCCGGGAUGAUAAGGACAGUACCGGGAGAAUAAGCUCCGGCUAACUCAGU